Molecule: transfer RNA, 76 nt
Filed under: Bacteroidota bacterium
Lineage: Bacteria; Pseudomonadati; Bacteroidota
Also listed under: 7 other names
Description: Bacteroidetes bacterium (marine metagenome) tRNA-Phe
Rfam family: tRNA
About the family: Transfer RNA (tRNA) molecules are approximately 80 nucleotides in length.
Source: RNAcentral
GGCGGGAUAGCUCAGUUGGUAGAGCAGAGGCCUGAAAAGCCUUGUGUCCCCAGUUCAAGUCUGGGUCCUGCCACCA